GCUAACGCGUUAAGUAGACCGCCUGGGGAGUACGGUCGCAAGAUUAAAACUCAAAUGAAUUGACGGGGGCCCGCACAAGCGGUGGAGCAUGUGGUUUAAUUCGAUGCAACGCGAAGAACCUUACCUACUCUUGACAUCCAGAGAACUUUCCAGAGAUGGAUUGGUGCCUUCGGGAACUCUGAGACAGGUGCUGCAUGGCUGUCGUCAGCUCGUGUUGUGAAAUGUUGG
Molecule: ribosomal RNA, 228 nt
Filed under: uncultured Vibrionaceae bacterium
Lineage: Bacteria; Pseudomonadati; Pseudomonadota; Gammaproteobacteria; Vibrionales; Vibrionaceae
Description: partial 16S ribosomal RNA
Rfam family: Bacterial small subunit ribosomal RNA
Source: RNAcentral